UACGAGAGGCCCAAACAUUAUUCGGAAUUACUGGGCUUAAAGAGUUCGUAGGCGGCAUGGUAAGUAGGGUGUGAAAGUCCAGGGCUCAACCCUGGGAUGCCGGUGGAUACUGUCGGGCUCGAGUCCGGAAGAGGAGUGUGGAAUUCCUGGUGUAGCGGUGGAAUGCGCAGAUAUCAGGAGGAACACCGGUGGCGAAGGCGGUUCUCUGGGCCUUACCUGACGCUGAGGAGCGAAAGCGUGGGGAGCGAACAGG
RNAcentral lists this ribosomal RNA (253 nucleotides) under uncultured bacterium. RNAcentral describes it as "partial 16S ribosomal RNA". It matches the Rfam family "Bacterial small subunit ribosomal RNA", at positions 524 to 776 of the family's 1533-position model. The record is from RNAcentral.